RNAcentral lists this transfer RNA (86 nucleotides) under Clostridioides difficile. RNAcentral's name for it is "tRNA-Sec". It matches the Rfam family "tRNA". From Rfam's summary of the family: Transfer RNA (tRNA) molecules are approximately 80 nucleotides in length. Their secondary structure includes four short double-helical elements and three loops (D, anti-codon, and T loops). The record is from RNAcentral. Lineage: Bacteria; Bacillati; Bacillota; Clostridia; Peptostreptococcales; Peptostreptococcaceae.
GCCCUAGUGGCGGAACUGGCAGGCGCACAGGACUUCAAUUCCUGCGGGACUUACCGCUCGUACCGGUUCGAUUCCGGUCUUCGGCA